GAUUAAGUUAUUAAGGGCGCACGGUGGAUGCCUUGGCACUAGAAGCCGAUGAAGGACGUUACUAACGACGAUAUGCUUUGGGGAGCUGUAAGUAAGCUUUGAUCCAGAGAUUUCCGAAUGGGGAAACCCAGCAUGAGUUAUGUCAUGUUAUCGAUAUGUGAAUACAUAGCAUAUCAGAAGGCACACCCGGAGAACUGAAACAUCUUAGUACCCGGAGGAAGAGAAAGAAAAUUCGAUUCCCUUAGUAGCGGCGAGCGAAACGGGAAGAGCCCAAACCAACAAGCUUGCUUGUUGGGGUUGUAGGACACUCUAUACGGAGUUACAAAGGACGACAUUAGACGAAUCAUCUGGAAAGAUGAAUCAAAGAAGGUAAUAAUCCUGUAGUCGAAAAUGUUGUCUCUCUUGAGUGGAUCCUGAGUACGACGGAGCACGUGAAAUUCCGUCGGAAUCUGGGAGGACCAUCUCCUAAGGCUAAAUACUCUCUAGUGACCGAUAGUGAACCAGUACCGUGAGGGAAAGGUGAAAAGCACCCCGGAAGGGGAGUGAAAUAGAACCUGAAACCGUGUGCUUACAAGUAGUCAGAGCCCGUUAAUGGGUGAUGGCGUGCCUUUUGUAGAAUGAACCGGCGAGUUACGAUUUGAUGCAAGGUUAAGCAGUAAAUGUGGAGCCGUAGCGAAAGCGAGUCUGAAUAGGGCGUUUAGUAUUUGGUCGUAGACCCGAAACCAGGUGAUCUACCCUUGGUCAGGUUGAAGUUCAGGUAACACUGAAUGGAGGACCGAACCGACUUACGUUGAAAAGUGAGCGGAUGAACUGAGGGUAGCGGAGAAAUUCCAAUCGAACCUGGAGAUAGCUGGUUCUCUCCGAAAUAGCUUUAGGGCUAGCCUCAAGUGAUGAUUAUUGGAGGUAGAGCACUGUUUGGACGAGGGGCCCCUCUCGGGUUACCGAAUUCAGACAAACUCCGAAUGCCAAUUAAUUUAACUUGGGAGUCAGAACAUGGGUGAUAAGGUCCGUGUUCGAAAGGGAAACAGCCCAGACCACCAGCUAAGGUCCCAAAAUAUAUGUUAAGUGGAAAAGGAUGUGGCGUUGCCCAGACAACUAGGAUGUUGGCUUAGAAGCAGCCAUCAUUUAAAGAGUGCGUAAUAGCUCACUAGUCGAGUGACACUGCGCCGAAAAUGUACCGGGGCUAAACAUAUUACCGAAGCUGUGGAUUGUCCUUUGGACAAUGGUAGGAGAGCGUUCUAAGGGCGUUGAAGCAUGAUCGUAAGGACAUGUGGAGCGCUUAGAAGUGAGAAUGCCGGUGUGAGUAGCGAAAGACGGGUGAGAAUCCCGUCCACCGAUUGACUAAGGUUUCCAGAGGAAGGCUCGUCCGCUCUGGGUUAGUCGGGUCCUAAGCUGAGGCCGACAGGCGUAGGCGAUGGAUAACAGGUUGAUAUUCCUGUACCACCUAUAAUCGUUUUAAUCGAUGGGGGGACGCAGUAGGAUAGGCGAAGCGUGCGAUUGGAUUGCACGUCUAAGCAGUAAGGCUGAGUAUUAGGCAAAUCCGGUACUCGUUAAGGCUGAGCUGUGAUGGGGAGAAGACAUUGUGUCUUCGAGUCGUUGAUUUCACACUGCCGAGAAAAGCCUCUAGAUAGAAAAUAGGUGCCCGUACCGCAAACCGACACAGGUAGUCAAGAUGAGAAUUCUAAGGUGAGCGAGCGAACUCUCGUUAAGGAACUCGGCAAAAUGACCCCGUAACUUCGGGAGAAGGGGUGCUCUUUAGGGUUAACGCCCAGAAGAGCCGCAGUGAAUAGGCCCAAGCGACUGUUUAUCAAAAACACAGGUCUCUGCUAAACCGUAAGGUGAUGUAUAGGGGCUGACGCCUGCCCGGUGCUGGAAGGU
RNAcentral lists this ribosomal RNA (1878 nucleotides) under Staphylococcus aureus. RNAcentral describes it as "partial 23S ribosomal RNA". It matches the Rfam family "Bacterial large subunit ribosomal RNA", at positions 1 to 1877 of the family's 2925-position model. Lineage: Bacteria; Bacillati; Bacillota; Bacilli; Caryophanales; Staphylococcaceae. The record is from RNAcentral.